GAUGAACGCUGGCGGCGUGCCUAACACAUGCAAGUCGAGCGAUUCUCUUCGGAGAAGAGCGGCGGACGGGUGAGUAACGCGUGGGUAACCUGCCCUGUACACGCGGAUAACAUACCGAAAGGUAUGCUAAUACGAGAUAAUAUGCUUUUAUCGCAUGGUAGAAGUAUCAAAGCUUUUGCGGUACAGGAUGGACCCGCGUCUGAUUAGCUAGUUGGUAAGGUAACGGCUUACCAAGGCGACGAUCAGUAGCCGACCUGAGGGGGUGAUCGGCCACAUUGGAACUGAGACACGGUCCAAACUCCUACGGGAAGCAGCAGUGGGGAAUAUUGCACAAUGGGCGAAAGCCUGAUGCAGCAACGCCGCGUGAGCGAUGAAGGCCUUCGGGUCGUAAAGUUCUGUCCUCAAGGAAGAUAAUGACGGUACUUGAGGAGGAAGCCCCGGCUAACUACGUG
RNAcentral lists this ribosomal RNA (452 nucleotides) under uncultured bacterium. Its description in RNAcentral is "partial 16S ribosomal RNA". It matches the Rfam family "Bacterial small subunit ribosomal RNA", at positions 28 to 507 of the family's 1533-position model. The record is from RNAcentral.